UACAGGGGGGGCAAGCGUUGUUCGGAAUUACUGGGCGUAAAGGGUUCGUAGGUGGCCACUUAAGUCAGACGUGAAAUCCCUCAGCUUAACUGGGGAACUGCGUCUGAUACUGGGUGGCUUGAGUGCAGGAGAGGGAUGCGGAAUUCCAGGUGUAGCGGUGAAAUGCGUAGAUAUCGGGAGGAACACCAGUGGCGAAAGCGGCCUCCUGGACUGUACCUGACGCUGAGACACGAAAGCUAGGGGAGCGAACGGG
RNAcentral lists this ribosomal RNA (253 nucleotides) under uncultured bacterium. RNAcentral's name for it is "partial 16S ribosomal RNA". It matches the Rfam family "Bacterial small subunit ribosomal RNA", at positions 524 to 776 of the family's 1533-position model. The record is from RNAcentral.